UGGAAUCCCGUGCGAAUCUGUCCCGACCGUGGGAUAAGCCUAAAUAUUCCUGUCUGACCGAUAGCGAACGAGUACCGUGAGGGAAUGGUGAAAAGUACCCCGGGAGGGGAGUGAAAUAGUACCUGAAACCGUGUGCUUACAAGCCGUUGGAGCCUUUUGGGGUGACAGCGUGCCUUUUGAAGAAUGAGCCUGCGAGUUAGUGUUAUGUCGCGAGGUUAACCCGUGUGGGGUAUCCGUAGCGAAAGCGAGUCUGAAUAGGGCGUUUGAGUGGCAUGACCUAGACCCGAAGCGGAGUGAUCUAUCCAUGGCCAGGUUGAAGCGACGGUAAGACGUCGUGGAGGACCGAACCCACUUCAGUUGAAAAUGGAGGGGAUGAGCUGUGGAUAGGGGUGAAAGGCCAAUCAAACUCUGUGAUAGCUGGUUCUCCCCGAAAUGCAUUUAGGUGCAGCGUUACGUGUUUCUUGCCGGAGGUAGAGCUACUGGAUGGCCGAUGGGCCUUCACGGGUUACUGACGUCAGCUAAACUCCGAAUGCCGGUAAGUGAGAGCGUAGCAGUGAGACAGUGGGGGAUAAGCUUCAUUGUCGAGAGGGAAACAGCCCAGACCACCAACUAAGGCCCCUAAGCGUGUGCUAAGUGGGAAAGGAUGUGGAGUUGCUUAGACAACCAGGAGGUUGGCUUAGAAGCAGCCAUCCUUGAAAGAGUGCGUAACAGCUCACUGGUCAAGUGAUUCUGCGCCGAUAAUGUAGCGGGGCUCAAGUACACCGCCGAAGUUGUGGCAAUGAUCUUUUUGGAUUGUUGGGUAGGGGAGCGUCGUGUAGCCGGUGAAGCUGCGGUGUAAACCAGUGGUGGAGGCUAUGCGAGUGAGAAUGCAGGCAUGAGUAGCGAAAGAUGAGUGAGAAACUCAUCCGCCGGAUGAUCAAGGGUUCCAGGGUCAAGUUAAUCUGCCCUGGGUUAGUCGGGUCCUAAGGCGAGGCCGACAGGCGUAGUCGAUGGAUAACGGGUUGAUAUUCCCGUACCGGUGAAAAACCGCCCAUACUGAUAUUGUGAUGCUAACCAUGCGAAGCAUGAUGUGCAGGCUUUUGUUUGUGUGUUGUGUGGGUUGUGGGACCCGAUCUUUGGAGGUAAACGUAUUAACAGGUGUGACGCAGGAAGGUAGCCAAGCCACGCGAUGGUUGUCGUGGUCUAAGCGUGUAGGGUUGUCGGUUGUUAAAUGCGCCGGCUGUGUGCCUGAGACGUGAUGGGACCCCGUUUUUGGGGGAUUUGGUGAUCCUAUGCUGCCGAGAAAAGCAUCGGCGUGAGGUUUUAGCCGCCCGUACCCUAAACCGACACAGGUGAUCAGGUAGAGAAUACUAAGGCGAUCGAGAGAAUCAUGGUUAAGGAACUCGGCAAAAUGCCCCCGUAACUUCGGGAGAAGGGGGACCUUGAGCGUGAUGGGCACUUGCUGCCUGGAGCGUGUAUGGGUCGCAGAGACCAGGGGGAAGCGACUGUUUAUCAAAAACACAGGUCCGUGCGAAGUCGUAAGACGAUGUAUACGGACUGACUCCUGCCCGGUGCUGGAAGGUUAAGAGGAUUGGUUAGCUCUUUUGAGCGAAGCUGAGAAUUUAAGCCCCAGUAAACGGCGGUGGUAACUAUAACCAUCCUAAGGUAGCGAAAUUCCUUGUCGGGUAAGUUCCGACCUGCACGAAUGGAGUAACGACUUCCCUACUGUCUCAACCAUGAACUCGGCGAAAUUGCAGUACGAGUAAAGAUGCUCGUUUCGCGCAGCAGGACGGAAAGACCCCGUGACCUUUACUAUAGUUUGGUAUUGGUGUUUGGUUUGGCUUGUGUAGGAU
Molecule: ribosomal RNA, 1832 nt
Filed under: metagenome
Description: bacterial LSU rRNA
Rfam family: Bacterial large subunit ribosomal RNA
Source: RNAcentral